Non-coding RNA from Anas platyrhynchos (mallard), 1279 nucleotides. The record is from RefSeq and is a predicted model, not a curated record. NCBI's taxonomy places the organism in Eukaryota, Metazoa, Chordata, Aves, Anseriformes, Anatidae.
UUGAAGGGCUAACAGAGCACAUAUGGCUGGUGUGCAAAUAUGACUGGUUGUCAGUCAUCCUACUCCAUAAAUAGGGGACAGCCCGGAGCCCAGUGAGCUCUUUGCAGUGGGUUGUGUGCCAGGAUCUUCUCCUUGAGCAGAGAUGCCUCUCAGGGUUACUCCUCAAGGUCAAGAGACUCCUUACCUAUGACAGAUACUUGAGGCACUGAGUAAGGAAAAGCUCAAAUCAUGACAUGAAGUUGCUCUCUCAUUGCAUAUCUCUCCAGUCUGACACGAUGAAGUUUUGCCUCUUUAGUUUGUGCUUGUUCCCCUCACCUGGACAUAGAAGACAAAAAGUACAGUAUGAACAAAUUUGAAUUGAAACAAAUUAGCAAAUUUAUCUCUGAUGGCAUUGUUGACAGCGUUACAGAGAGAAGCACCAGGCAGGACCUAAAAAGCCUUAUAAUGAAGAAUAUUUGAACCUAAUUUUAGCUUUACAACCUUACAGGUGAAGUAGAGAGUAUAAACUUCUUUAAAGAAGCCCAGCAAGCAGAUAGCCUGGACUUACAGACUGCACCUCCCAGGGUGGCUAGUUCAAAUUAAAUCAUUAGCUGAGAAGGAAUAAUCCUGGUAGGUUCAGAAAACCAGCUUUAAAUUUGGCCUGCUAGCAAAAUUCUGAAUGUAUUUACUCUGGAUUCCAUUUCUCAACCCAUAUUAAAGCUCCAUAGCAUAAUCAAUUAUGGGCUUAUUGCAAAGUACAAUAGGAUUCAAUCUCCAGGAAUGCCUCCGGGUAUGUCUUAGAAGGACGAUAAAACUAACAGUAAUGGGUCUACAACUUCUAAGGCUAAUUUCCACAGUUACAAAUUUUAUAAAUAAAUAGAAGGAAUGUCAACUCUCAGUCACUCAGCUUGUGGUCUCUCAUACUGAUAACUCUUCUCUUCUCAGAUACUUUCUGUUUCUCUGAUAUAUUCCGCUUUCUGUUCUGAAGCCCCUGGGACUUGUUCAAAGCAUUCCCAUUCCUACCUUUCACGUCGCUAAAUGGAGCAAAGAACCAACACAGCCAGAAAUACAGCCCCAGCACAGACAGAGCUCCCAAGGAGGAGGCAGCUCUGCAGACCUGGGGCUGAAGGGGUGUCUGGGGCCCAUUGCUAAGGCUGGGGCUGAAGGGGUGAUGCUCUAUGGGAGAGGGACAAUCACCUGAAAUCAAGUAAGUAGGUGGAGGAACAGGAUGGCAAGCAAGGGUUGCAGGGUGAUGUGGACAAGAGGAAUCUCAUGAUCAAAAAACAGGGUUGAAAGGUGC